This 351-nucleotide long non-coding RNA is filed under the name Arabidopsis lyrata. RNAcentral's name for it is "long non-coding RNA (ALYR_LNC000279)". The record is from RNAcentral. Lineage: Eukaryota; Viridiplantae; Streptophyta; Magnoliopsida; Brassicales; Brassicaceae.
GAAACUGAAUCCCAAUUCAGUUUAGAAGAAGACUUGCCGAAUGGAGAAACUCAAAUCAGUCACGGAGAUGAGGGCUUCAAUCACGAUGGAGAACCAGACCAGUUCGUAGAAUCUUACACACAAGAAAGACCAUGGUGUGAGAUACCAUACUCUGAUCAAGAAGAAGAUCGCCAAGAGGAAACUGAUUCACAAAUCAGUUUAAGGGAAGACGAGUCACAUGGUGUAGAGACAUGGAGUCAUGAGGGUGAAUCUAACUAUGGUGAUGAGUCAGAUCGUGGGGAGGAAGAAAUAGACCACACCAAAGAUCAGCCCACACUAUGGGGUGAUGAAGAGGACUAUGAGCCACAAUAU